Molecule: ribosomal RNA, 253 nt
Filed under: uncultured bacterium
Lineage: Bacteria
Description: partial 16S ribosomal RNA
Rfam family: Bacterial small subunit ribosomal RNA
Source: RNAcentral
UACGUAGGGUGCAAGCGUUGUUCGGAAUCAUUGGGCGUAAAGCGCGUGUAGGUGGCUAGUUAAGUUGGAUGUGAAAUCCCUGGGCUCAACCGAGGAAGUGCAUUCAAAACUAGCUGGCUAGAGGAUGGUAGAGGAAGGUGGAAUUCCAAGUGUAGAGGUGAAAUUCGUAGAUAUUUGGAGGAAUACCGGCGGCGAAGGCGGCCUUCUGGGCCAUUCCUGACACUGAGACGCGAAAGCGUGGGGAGCAAACAGG